Molecule: non-coding RNA, 2547 nt
Organism: Nicotiana tabacum (common tobacco)
Lineage: Eukaryota; Viridiplantae; Streptophyta; Magnoliopsida; Solanales; Solanaceae
Source: RefSeq, a predicted model, not a curated record
UAUUGGUUAUAGCUAAACCGUAAAAUUUUCAUAUGGCGCACACCUAUUAGAUUUGUACCCACUUAAAAAAAUUUAAUUGAUACCUAAUACUCCUAUUUGGGUAACUUCAUAUAAAUGCACUUUUCUCUUAUUCUUUGCUGCUACUUUAUUUUUCUUUGUGUUUAGGAUUCCUUCUUCUUCUUUUGUUGCAAAACAGAUUUGUUACCCAUUCUUACCCAUUCCUUGACAAAAGCUUCUUCCAUGUCUACUCUCCUCCAAACUCUCUCCACUAGGCAACAAUGGAGGCUAAAAACACAGAUUUUUCUGAAGUGGUUCUCUACUAUUGUCGAUGAUGAACCGAUUGUGGUUGUCCAUUAACUGAAGCUCGUUUGUCUCGCUUCUGCGGUAUUUUUGACUUUUGUAUAGGGAACACUAAGUGCCAUCAAGACAAAAAUAGUAAUGGGGAGGAGAAGAACUUUAAUGUAGCCAAAAUUAUUUGACAGUAUGCCUGAAUAUGUAAGUCUCAAUCCUUCAACUAUAAAUCCUGAAUUCUAAAACUGUGAAAUGUGGUGAUUUCCUUUUGUUUGUUUUAUGUUGGUAUGCCAAUUGUUGAUUUAUAACAAACUUUAGUUUAUUCUUUGUCUCUGUUAUACAAAUAUAGUUUUCCCUCUUUACUGUCGUUAUACAAAUGUAGUUUCCCCUCUUUACUGUCUUCAAUUGGAUAAUGCUGCGAGCUUUGCUGAGAUUUUUACUUGGAUUUGGAAUUUUCAAGUUGAAACUUAAGAUCUUUAUUUAACUUUUGCGGUCCAACUUUCAUAGGAAUGCUUUAUUGAUCUGACAAAGAUAGUGAUUCUCCUUUAAUUUUCUUCCUAUAUUCUUCCGAGGACUCAGGUUCAUGCUUUUUUUAGUCUCUCUUUUUUUCAGGUGGGUGUUAGAGUUCACAAAGCUCUAUUUUAAAAUAGGUUCCUGUCAAUUGGUUAAUGUUUGAAUCUACUGGGCUAUCUUGGAAUUUAUAGUAGUCAUAUCUAACAAUUUUAGGUCAGUUUAGAAGUUCAAUUGAAAUUGAGAAAAAUGGUGAUUAUCUGAGGCAAGAAAUUAAUCUUCCUGUUAUGGUAAAAAAUAUUUGCACUCUAUCACCUAUUUUAUCUAAUGCAACAGCUAAGUCCAGCCACCUCUUAUCGAUCUUGUUUUAAUGUUGCUCUGCUAUGUUCGCCUCAAUAAAGUAAGGAUUCAUGUCACAUAAUUCUAGGAAUGAUAAGUAGGCGAAUCCCUCAAAGAACUUCCAUGUGUUAUAAAAUUGCAAACUAUAAAUUUAUCUUCGGAUAUGUCAUUUGGUUGUCUGCCAUUUUAUUUUGAUUACACCAAAUAUGUAUUUCAAUGACUAAGGUAAGUUUUAAUUAAGACGGGCAUUUGAACAAAGCAAUUUCCUGCAGCAUUAAUUGUGUGGAACAAAAGCAAGGCUCUCUUAACUACUAAAGAAAUAAUGUCUUAUUUUUUGGAACUAUAAGUUAUCAAUUUAAGAUUUUCUUUCACUUUAGAUCUCAACAAUGCUAUUUUAGCGUCGAUUGAAGAGGAAAUGACUUAUUCUGCUCAAAUGAUCUAUUUUCUCCUAAGUAAUGAGAUUACCUAACGUUAACCUUUCAAUUUAGAUGCCUAAAAUUUAUAUCUUAGUCUCAUUUGAAGAGGAAGACUUAUUGUACUAGAAUAGAAGGACAUCAGUUUCUUCCCAAAAUUUUACAUAUUCCUAAUUGCUCAAAAUUAUGAUUUAUCCUAUCUUGAAAAGGACAUAAUUGGAAGAAAUGGUACCUUCUUUUCAGUGCAAAAUUUGAUUCUACGUGCAUACAUCUUGUUCUAGGCUUCACUGUGGUCAUUUUUGGUACCUAUAGUUUAUGGGAUAUCAAUACUACUGGGAUUCAUUAACCCAUCAUCAUCAUGUUUUGCUGAUAGUGUUAGCUUUCUCAUAGGACAUUUAAACAGAAGAAACUCACUUUUGUGUGGAGAAUGCAGCUGAGAAAGACUCAACUUUAGUCAUUUAUAUGGACAUGUCAACUCUUACUUUUCGUGCCUCAGAGUUGAUCCAUCAUGAGUUGCUGCAUAAUACAUCAGCUAUUGUCAUCCAAUGAAUUGACCAAACAUCAACAAAUACACAGCACGUAAAUAGAACAACUUCUCAUUCUCACAUUUGUUGAUUAGAUGUCUACACUGCUGCCUUUAUGUGCUACAUUUAGGACCACAAUAAUUUAUUUUAACAAUUGCAAAGAUGAGAAUGAUAUAUGCAAUUCUUCCGGCAAAUCUAUGUGCUGGCAUUUAUAGCUUUAUUAUUGCUGCAUUUAGGUGUAUCUUGUACCAUCUAGAUGCUUUAGGAAUUUUUGGCCUUAAUUUGUGGAAUAAAACUUAAGAUAUCUGAUAGUUUCUUUUCUGAAAAUUAUAAAUUAUUUCAUUACUCGGCACCUCUUCAAUUUUGUUGUUGGUGUCCGAGUCAGGCUUGUAUCUCUUCAUUUGGUAACUUUAUCUAAGCUAGCGUUUGGCCAUAAAUUCCCAAAUUUAUUCUGAAAAAUCUGAUUUGGG